RNAcentral lists this ribosomal RNA (735 nucleotides) under Morchella punctipes. RNAcentral describes it as "partial large subunit ribosomal RNA". It matches the Rfam family "Eukaryotic large subunit ribosomal RNA", at positions 182 to 930 of the family's 3401-position model. The record is from RNAcentral. Lineage: Eukaryota; Fungi; Ascomycota; Pezizomycetes; Pezizales; Morchellaceae.
UAAGUUCCUUGGAACAGGACGUCACAGAGGGUGAGAAUCCCGUGCUUGGCUGGCUGUCCCCGCCCACGUGAGGCGUCUUCGACGAGUCGAGUUGUUUGGGAAUGCAGCUCAAAAUGGGUGGUAAAUUUCAUCUAAAGCUAAAUAUUGGUGGGAGACCGAUAGCGCACAAGUAGAGUGAUCGAAAGAUGAAAAGCACUUUGAAAAUAGAGUUAAAAAGUACGUGAAAUUGUUGAAAGGGAAGCGCUUGAGACCAGACUUCGGUUAGGGGUGAUCAGCCGUCCUUCUGGGCGGUGCACUUGCCCCCCUCCGGGCCAGCAUCGGUUGAGGCGGCGGGAUAAAGGUCCCGGGAACGUGGCUCCUUCACGGGAGUGUUAUAGCCCGGGUGAAUGCCGCCAGCCUCGACCGAGGACCGCGCCCGCAAGGGUUAGGAUGCUUGGCAUAAUGGUCUUCAGCGACCCGUCUUGAAACACGGACCAAGGAGUCUAACAUCUAUGCGAGUGUUUGGGUGUCAAACCCUUGCGCGAAAUGAAAGUGAACGGAGGUGGGAACCCGCAAGGGCGCACCAUCGACCGGUCCUGAAGUCUUCUGAAGGAUCUGAGUAGGAGCAUAGCUGUUGGGACCCGAAAGAUGGUGAACUAUGCCUGAAUAGGGUGAAGCCAGAGGAAACUCUGGUGGAGGCUCGCAGCGGUUCUGACGUGCAAAUCGAUCGUCAAAUUUGGGUAUAGGGGCGAAAGA